This 301-nucleotide ribosomal RNA is filed under the name uncultured bacterium. RNAcentral describes it as "partial 16S ribosomal RNA". It matches the Rfam family "Bacterial small subunit ribosomal RNA", at positions 509 to 807 of the family's 1533-position model. The record is from RNAcentral.
CAGUCGCCGCGGUAAUACGUAGGUGGCAAGCGUUGUCCGGAAUUAUUGGGCGUAAAGCGUGCGCAGGCGGUUUGUUAAGACAGAUGUGAAAUCCCCGGGCUCAACCUGGGAACUGCAUUUGUGACUGGCAAGCUAGAGUAUGGCAGAGGGGGGUGGAAUUCCGCGUGUAGCAGUGAAAUGCGUAGAUAUGCGGAGGAACACCGAUGGCGAAGGCAGCCCCCUGGGCCAAUACUGACGCUCAUGCACGAAAGCGUGGGGAGCAAACAGGAUUAGAGACCCCUGUAGUCCCUGUCUCUUAUAC